Molecule: long non-coding RNA, 707 nt
Filed under: Monodelphis domestica (gray short-tailed opossum)
Lineage: Eukaryota; Metazoa; Chordata; Mammalia; Didelphimorphia; Didelphidae
Description: lncRNA (ENSMODG00000048647.1)
Source: RNAcentral
AAGACAGGAAGUUACCAGGUGCUAGCAGAGACUGUUUCUUGGGGAAAAAAGCUAGUGUUCGCAAGCCAAAGAGUUUUUUUUUUUCAACUACUUGGAUCUAAAUUCUCUCCCUGAUGCUCUUGGUUGUGUGUCAGUAAGAAAAGCAGAAACUUUUAAUUUAUCUGUAAAAUAAGGAUGAGAAAAUGUAUCAUGUUGAGUGAAAAUAAUAGCUCUUUCAAGUAUACAUUAUCUCAUUUGAUCUUUCCACCAAACCUGUAAGACAGGCAUUUUAUUCUAUUUUAUGUAUGAGGAACCUGAGACUCUGAGGGCUCAUGAUUUUCCCAGUGUCUGAGGUGCUAUAAAAUUCAGAGGUUGGAUGAGAUGAUCCCCGAGCUUCCUUCCCGAUCCGCUGUCUUGGACAUCUUUGAAUCUGCAAUGUACAUUCGAGCUCUCUGGAAGAUUAAAAGUCUUUUGCAGAUGUGGGGGUGGUGGUGGCAUGACUCACCAUCAAUGCCCUCUCCCCCCUCCUUAAGACUGUAAGGUCCUUGAAAGCAAGACUUGGUUCUACUCUCUUAUUACUACAUCGAUUCCUACGGAGAAUGGGCUGAACCUUUAAGUAUUUGCUAUGAGCCAUUCUUCACUUCCAAAUACAGCUCAGUUGAUGACCUAAAUUGCUCCUUUGCCGCCAGAAGUCAGCAUCUUGGUGUCAAUUUACUGGGCUGAGUCAA